GCAAAGAAAGAGGAAGAGAAAGAAGUGGGAAUAUCCGGAAUCAGCAGUUAGUUGAAUUCCCGGUACAAGAGUUCUCGUAUCUGAUCAACCAGUAACCGGUGUGGGAGUAUGAGAAUAAGCUGUUGGUGCAGGUGCAAUAGAAGCUCUAGACGCUCUUGGUCUCCUCAACGCAUCCGCUGUUGUUAGAAUGAAAUUCCCCGGUGCUUUGUUUGCCAUUAAAUGCGCUGUGGGACAUCGAGGAAGAGCAUCUGGGAAUUUCUCUUUUUUUUUUACGACUGCCCGUAGCCGGAGUUGGUCUCGUCGCUAGGUCUUUAACCGGUUCGGAAGAUACACUAUCAGUCAAUGAAGUGGGCUUAAACAGAAAGUUGGGUAUUGUAUUGAGAUGCUUGCUUGGCCGGAACCCCAACUACUACGUUGGGAGAAUUGAAAAAUAAAUUAAGACUAUCCAAAGAAGGAUCGGAUCUUUUAAAGAACUAUAUUGGGGAACAGGAAACUCCUGGUUCAGGAGCGGGGUCAACCAAGCGCCAGGCAUUCACAUCCUGAGUACCACCUCGGAGCUUAAUUUGGCAUAUGCUCAACUGAGUGAUCAAACCCACUAAAAUUGCUCCAAGAACUGCAACUUUUCGCCAAUCUGGUGAAGAAGAAAUGAAGGAAUCAGCAAUAACAAUGACUAGCACCCCAAUCAAAGCAAGACCCUGGUACCAGCUUCAUCGAGUCCUUUAAGAGCAUCUUCUCCAAUUUUAUCGAACUCGGCAUUGGCUUCUUCAGCAAAUUGAGUCAGAUAAGCUGAUCUUUCAUCUAGGUAAUCAGUGAGACGAACUUUUUGAGCUUGAAGCAUAGCUAUUCUUGCAAGUAGCUCUUGCUUACGAGUAUCACCUUCAGGAGGUGGAGACGCCUCUGAAUCAGAAUUAGAAUCACUGGAGUUGCAAAGGUAUAAUAUUGAAUUCUUUUGGUUAAUUGGUCUUCUUGUACGGAAAAGGGUAUGCUUUGUAGGUGAAAAAGAGGUGUUGAUGGCUUUGAGCGCCAUCAUCUUCUUCUUUCCCUUACAGAAGUGGGAGAGAGGGGGUUGGAUUUUGAACCUUUCGUUUGGUGGAUAUUAUUGUGGAGUGUGGCCAAUCUUUACACUGACAUGUUAUUAUGGAUUUUUGAAA
Molecule: non-coding RNA, 1151 nt
Organism: Jatropha curcas
Lineage: Eukaryota; Viridiplantae; Streptophyta; Magnoliopsida; Malpighiales; Euphorbiaceae
Source: RefSeq, a predicted model, not a curated record